CCUGGCGGCACUAGCGCGGUGGUCCCACCUGACCCCAUGCCGAACUCAGAAGUGAAACGCCGUAGCGCCGAUGGUAGUGUGGGGUCUCCCCAUGUGAGAGUAGGGAACUGCCAGGCAU
This 118-nucleotide ribosomal RNA is filed under the name Klebsiella pneumoniae IS46. The record is from RNAcentral. Lineage: Bacteria; Pseudomonadati; Pseudomonadota; Gammaproteobacteria; Enterobacterales; Enterobacteriaceae.